UACGUAGGUGGCAAGCGUUAUCCGGAAUUAUUGGGCGUAAAGAGCGCGCAGGCGGUUCCUUAAGUCUGAUGUGAAAGCCCACGGCUCAACCGUGGAAGGUCAUUGGAAACUGGGGAACUUGAGUGCAGAAGAGGAGAGUGGAAUUCCAUGUGUAGCGGUGAAAUGCGUAGAUAUAUGGAGGAACACCAGUGGCGAAGGCGACUCUCUGGUCUGUAACUGACGCUGAGGCUCGAAAGCGUGGGGAGCAAACAGGAUUAGA
Molecule: ribosomal RNA, 259 nt
Filed under: uncultured prokaryote
Description: partial 16S ribosomal RNA
Rfam family: Bacterial small subunit ribosomal RNA
Source: RNAcentral